RNAcentral lists this long non-coding RNA (459 nucleotides) under Dromaius novaehollandiae (emu). RNAcentral describes it as "lncRNA (ENSDNVG00000009152.1)". Lineage: Eukaryota; Metazoa; Chordata; Aves; Casuariiformes; Dromaiidae. The record is from RNAcentral.
AGCAYUGCAGAAGGAAUACCUAAGAAAUGCUGUAAUGCUAAAUAAUUCUGACAUCCCUGCAAACUGAUCUGACUGGGGAGGGUUACUCAACUCGCUGUACUUAUCCAUGCAAGGACUGGUGUGAAGGAGUGGGUUUCCCAUUUCUGCCUUGUUUGAACUGAAGAACUUGAUAUAAAGCCACAGAAUUUGUGUGGGCUGGAAAGAAAACAUUCUUGGAAGAGGAAAUUCAGCUCUAAAAUAUAUUUUAAAAGCCGUCCAUCCUCUGCUGGCACUUCUGGCUGCUCUCCCUUGUUUGGCAGGUCCAGCUGCAUCAGGGCUGGAGUCACUUGGUGCUGCAGCAGGUAACGCAAGAGCAUCACGGGCCUGAGCAGARUUGGUCAAACCUGGCCCUGGCAGAUAGUAGGAACCACUGUAUGAGCCGUGUCCUGCGUCCCCAGGGAGAUGGAGAACCAAAGCCGG